Long non-coding RNA from Cyprinus carpio (common carp), 1047 nucleotides. Lineage: Eukaryota; Metazoa; Chordata; Actinopteri; Cypriniformes; Cyprinidae. The record is from Ensembl.
AUGAAGCUCUCCACACUGGAACAUUUGUGCUCCUCAGACAGCGGCUCCCAGGAGCCUCGCUGGCGUCUGCAGGGUUUGAAAGCACUUUCCGACAGCGUCCGGAUGAGCAGCGCUGCAGCGGCCGAUCACUGUCACCAAUUUGUACAUAGCCAUGAGGGCCAUGCAGGGGACAGACACACGGCCGUAAUGAGCCUCACAGGAACAGCCUCCUGUCUGCACACACACACAUACACACACACGGACACACUCACGCAUGCACACACACUCACUCACUCACUCACUCACAUGCACACUCACACGUACACUCACAAACACACACACGCGCACACACACAUGCACUCUCACACACUCACACACAUUCACAUUCACGCCCAUACACACACUCACACACUCACUCACACACGGACACACAUAUGCACAUACACGCACACACACUCACAUUUACACACACAUACACACACACAGACACACACACACACACACUCACUCACACAAGAACACACACACUCACUCACUCACAUACGCACACACACUCACUCACUCACUCACUCACUCACACGCCCACUCACAAACACACACACACACACACACACACACGUGCACUCUCACACACAUUCACACUCACACCCACACACACACUCACACACGGACACACAUACGCACAUACACGCACGCACACUCACAUUUACACACACAUACACACACACUCACACAGACUCACUCACUCACACACAAUCACACUUACUCACACACACACAAACACGCACACACACAUGCACUCACACACACUCACGCCCACACACACACUCACGCCCACACACACACUCACACACACUCACUCACACACACACACGCACUCACACACACUCACGCCCACACACACUCACACACACACUCACGCCCACACACUCACACACACUCACGCCCACACACACACUCGUGCACACACAUGCACUCUCUCACACACACACACACACUGAUGCUUCACAGUGCCUCUGCAGACUGUAUAUGAAUCACAUCCAUAAUGGACAAUGUUCUGAAAUAUAG